RNAcentral lists this ribosomal RNA (559 nucleotides) under Erythrobasidium hasegawianum. RNAcentral's name for it is "LSU rRNA". It matches the Rfam family "Eukaryotic large subunit ribosomal RNA", at positions 48 to 628 of the family's 3401-position model. Lineage: Eukaryota; Fungi; Basidiomycota; Cystobasidiomycetes; Erythrobasidiales; Erythrobasidiaceae. The record is from RNAcentral.
AAGCGGAGGAAAAGAAACUAACAAGGAUUCCCCCAGUAACGGCGAGUGAAGUGGGAAAAGCUCAACUUUGAAAUCUGGCUGUUUUACAGUCCGAGUUGUAGUCUCGAGAAGUGUUUUCCGCGUUAAACCGUGUAUGAGUCUGUUGGAACACAGCGUCAUAGAGGGUGAGAACCCCGUUCAUGACACGGCUUUUAAUGCUUUGUGAUACACUUUCGAUGAGUCGAGUUGUUUGGGAAUGCAGCUCAAAUUGGGUGGUAAAUUCCAUCUAAAGCUAAAUAUUGGCGAGAGACCGAUAGCAAACAAGUACCGUGAGGGAAAGAUGAAAAGCACUUUGGAAAGAGAGUUAAAAGUACGUGAAAUUGUCGAAAGGGAAACGCUUGAAGUCAGACGUGCACGGGAUUUAUUCCUAUUGCAGGCCAACAUCGGUUUUACGAGCCGGAUAAAGGUACAAGGAAGGUAGCAGUUUCGGCUGUGUUAUAGCCUCGUACUGAAUACGGAUUGUGAGACCGAGGGACGCAGCGCGCCGCAAGGCAAAGGGUCCGCCCUUUUCGCGCUUAGG